This 449-nucleotide ribosomal RNA is filed under the name uncultured bacterium. RNAcentral's name for it is "bacterial SSU rRNA". It matches the Rfam family "Bacterial small subunit ribosomal RNA", at positions 29 to 521 of the family's 1533-position model. The record is from RNAcentral.
AACGAACGCUGGCGGCAGGCCUAACACAUGCAAGUCGAACGCCCGUAGCAAUACGGGAGUGGCAGACGGGUGAGUAACGCGUGGGAACGUGCCCUUCGGUUCGGAAUAACUCAGGGAAACUUGAGCUAAUACCGGAUACGUCCGUAAGGAGAAAGAUUUAUCGCCGAAGGAUCGGCCCGCGUCGGAUUAGCUAGUUGGUGAGGUAACGGCCCACCAAGGCGACGAUCCGUAGCUGGUCUGAGAGGAUGAUCAGCCACACUGGGACUGAGACACGGCCCAGACUCCUACGGGAGGCAGCAGUGGGGAAUAUUGGACAAUGGGCGAAAGCCUGAUCCAGCCAUGCCGCGUGAGUGAAGAAGGCCUUAGGGUUGUAAAGCUCUUUCAGCGGGGAAGAUAAUGACGGUACCCGCAGAAGAAGCCCCGGCUAACUUCGUGCCAGCCGCCGCCGU